This 73-nucleotide transfer RNA is filed under the name Rozella allomycis CSF55. Its description in RNAcentral is "tRNA-Ala (AGC) (tRNA-Ala-AGC-4-1)". It matches the Rfam family "tRNA". Rfam says of the family: Transfer RNA (tRNA) molecules are approximately 80 nucleotides in length. Their secondary structure includes four short double-helical elements and three loops (D, anti-codon, and T loops). Lineage: Eukaryota; Fungi; Rozellomycota. The record is from Rfam by way of RNAcentral.
GGGGUUGUAGCUCAGAUGGUAGAGCGCGCGCUUAGCAUGCGCGAGGUAGAGGGAUCGAUACCCUCCAACUCCA